RNAcentral lists this ribosomal RNA (347 nucleotides) under uncultured bacterium. Its description in RNAcentral is "bacterial SSU rRNA". It matches the Rfam family "Bacterial small subunit ribosomal RNA", at positions 73 to 422 of the family's 1533-position model. The record is from RNAcentral.
GUUGGGGCAACCUGGCAGUCAGUGGCGGACGGGUGAGUAAUGCAUCGGAACGUGUCCCGUAGUGGGGGAUAACCCGGCGAAAGCCGGACUAAUACCGCAUAUGCUCUACGGAGGAAAGCGGGGGACCUGAAAGGGCCUCGCGCUAGGGGAGCGGCCGAUGUCCGAUUAGCUUGUUGGUGGGGUAAUGGCCUACCAAGGCGACGAUCGGUAGCUGGUCUGAGAGGAUGAUCAGCCACACUGGGACUGAGACACGGCCCAGACUCCUACGGGAGGCAGCAGUGGGGAAUUUUGGACAAUGGGGGCAACCCUGAUCCAGCCAUGCCGCGUGCGGGAAGAAGGCCUUCGGG